CCUUAGAGUUUGAUCCUGGCUCAGGACGAACGCUGGCGGCGCGCCUAACACAUGCAAGUCGAACGAGCGAGAGGAGGUUUACUUUCUCAAGCGAGUGGCGAACGGGUGAGUAACGCGUGAGGAACCUGCCUCAAAGAGGGGGACAACAGUUGGAAACGACUGCUAAUACCGCAUAAGCCCACGACCCGGCAUCGGGUAGAGGGAAAAGGAGCAAUCCGCUUUGAGAUGGCCUCGCGUCCGAUUAGCUAGUUGGUGAGGUAAUGGCCCACCAAGGCGACGAUCGGUAGCCGGACUGAGAGGUUGAACGGCCACAUUGGGACUGAGACACGGCCCAGACUCCUACGGGAGGCAGCAGUGGGGAAUAUUGCACAAUGGGGGAAACCCUGAUGCAGCGACGCCGCGUGGAGGAAGAAGGUCUUCGGAUUGUAAACUCCUGUUGUUGAGGAAGAUAAUGACGGUACUCAACAAGGAAGUGACGGCUAACUACGUGCCAGCAGCCGCGGUAAAACGUAGGUCACAAGCGUUGUCCGGAAUUACUGGGUGUAAAGGGAGCGCAGGCGGGAAGACAAGUUGGAAGUGAAAUCCAUGGGCUCAACCCAUGAACUGCUUUCAAAACUGUUUUUCUUGAGUAGUGCAGAGGUAGGCGGAAUUCCCGGUGUAGCGGUGGAAUGCGUAGAUAUCGGGAGGAACACCAGUGGCGAAGGCGGCCUACUGGGCACCAACUGACGCUGAGGCUCGAAAGUGUGGGUAGCAAACAGGAUUAGAUACCCUGGUAGUCCACACUGUAAACGAUGAUUACUAGGGGUUGGAGGAAUGACCCUUCAAUGGCCGCAGUUAACACAAUA
Molecule: ribosomal RNA, 845 nt
Filed under: uncultured bacterium
Lineage: Bacteria
Description: bacterial SSU rRNA
Rfam family: Bacterial small subunit ribosomal RNA
Source: RNAcentral